Molecule: ribosomal RNA, 253 nt
Filed under: uncultured bacterium
Lineage: Bacteria
Description: partial 16S ribosomal RNA
Rfam family: Bacterial small subunit ribosomal RNA
Source: RNAcentral
UACGUAGGCAGCGAGCGUUGUUCGGAGUUACUGGGCGUAAAGGGUGUGUAGGCGGUUUUCUAAGUUUGGUGUGAAAUCUCCCGGCUCAACCGGGAGGGUGCGCCGAAAACUGGGAGACUAGAGUGCGGGAUGGGAGAGUAGAAUUCCUGGUGUAGCGGUGAAAUGCGUAGAUAUCAGGAGGAAUACCGGUGGUGUAGACGGCUCUCUGGACCGCCACUGACGCUGAGACACGAAAGCGUGGGGAGCGAACAGG